RNA transcript from Trifolium pratense (red clover), 2390 nucleotides. RefSeq lists it as uncharacterized. Lineage: Eukaryota; Viridiplantae; Streptophyta; Magnoliopsida; Fabales; Fabaceae. The record is from RefSeq and is a predicted model, not a curated record. The transcript is spliced from 3 exons.
CCUAAUCUAUCCAAAUCAAAAAGUAAAGGGGAGGCAAAAGGUUAACACUUAACAGACAAAGUAGAGAAAGAAAAGGAGGCGCCAGAAAAGGAAGGAACUAGUAGCUGCUGCUGCUGCUGCUGCUGCUGCUGCGAUUACCUCCGCCACCGUCUGCUGCUGCGAUUACCUCCGCCACCGUCUGCUGCUGCGAUUACCUCCUCCACCGUCUCUUUAACCACCAUAAAAAAACUACCUCCACCUUCAUCACCAUCUCUUUCACAAAUAGAACCCAUUUUUUCAUCCAAAACAAACAGAACUCAUUCCAUCAAAUCAACACUAACACCUCCACCAUAGCUAGAACCACCGCCGGACCUCUCCCCCUCUCUCUCUAAGUACGCAUGACGUCUUUAGCUGGAUCAGGAGAGCCACCCUUACCUCCGCCUGGUGGUGGUGGAGAUUUAGGUGGGCAUAGAUCAGACCCACCUAGACGUGGACGAGUACUUCCAUAAAAAACCUGACGGGUCAUGGGAUACAGUAGAAGCGGCACGAGUACAGGUAUGUGUAAGUUUCUUUGUUUACUAUAUUAAAUAGAAAAAAGGAGAAUGUUUAAUUCGCCGAUAUUUCUUGAUUAAUGUUGGUCUAGGUAUGGUUCCAUAAAAUAUUAUUAAGUACUAUUAGGUUGGACUUGCAAAUAUUAUUGCCUUAGUAGUCAGUAUGUGUUUCCUCCUACUGUUUGUCACAUAAAACCUGAUUGUAUGCUUUUGUGUUGUCUAUUCAACAUCUAAACAUAAAUAAGCCUUGUGCUAAAUCAUUUAGUCAAUACACGAGACUGUAAUAGAUAAUGUUGUUGAAUCUCACUAUGCAGUAUCACGCAGGGUUUUUUUGAGUUUUAUCUCGUUCUCUAAACUUAACUUGCAGAAUUAAAAAACCUAUUUUGACCGAACUGUAUUUGGGUCAUUUUAAAAGUGAUUUUUUCUUAUCAUUUUCUGAAUUCAAUCUCUAAUUAGUGAUGUAAAAGUUGAAAUAACAUAACACCAAUAUUAUGAUCUUUUCUACUGUUAAGAGUCUAUUUGAAAGAGAAAUAGAACGAACAUAGCUGAAUCUGAAAAAUGUUUCAUUGAUUGAAAGUUGUGUACACUGAACUGUAUUUAUAGAGCUGUUGUCUGAACCUUACAGCAGAGAUACCAUUUACACAAAUAAAAGCAAAAUACAUUAAUUUAGAGUGUAAUUUGGUGGCUGAGAUACUUAAGAGCAGGCCAACUAAUUCUGGAAAGGAGUAUAACUAUUUGUGAGCUCUAGCAUCUUUCUAUAUUAAGUGAAAAUUCAUGUUAUUAGCAAGGUUUGCAGUGCUGACUGCUGUGAUUUGAAUAUUAGUAUUAGCAAGGUCUGCAGGCUUGUAUAUCUUUCUUUUUUUUUUCCUGCUUAUUUGGGUCAUUUUAAAAGUGAUUUUUUCUUAUCAUUUUCUGAAUUCAAUCUCUAAUUAGUAAUGUAAAAGUUGAAAUAACAUAACACCAAUAUUAUGAUCUUUUCUAUUGUUAAGAGUCUAUUUGAAAGAGAAAUAGAACGAACAUAGCUGAAUCUGAAAAAUGUUUCAUUGAUUGAAAGUUGUGUACACUGAACUGUAUUUAUAGAGCUGUUGUCUGAACCUUACAGCAGAGAUACCAUUUACACAAAUAAAAGCAAAAUACAUUAAUUUAGAGUGUAAUUUGGUGGCUGAGAUACUUAAGAGCAGGCCAACUAUUCUGGAAAGGAGUAUAACUAUUAGUAUUAGCAAGAGGGAGAUGGAUGAAUUCGAGGAAGCUUUUAAUGCUCAACAAAAUGCUCUUCCACCUAGUGAGCGGACUCCUGAGGAGGUUAGAGAUACAAUAAUGCUGGAUCAAUUUGUCGAGGUUGCUGGCGGGGUGCAAAGAAAUCAUCUUAGGGGGCAAGGCAAUGCAUCUUCAUUGGUCAUAAGGACCCCGAUGGGAUAUAGACUUGAUCCUAGCUCCACUUUUAGCUCGAGUAGUUCUUUCGCUCGAUCUAAUGCAGCUGUUGAUUUUGAAGAGAUGGAACGUCGACUCAAAGCUGACAAUGAUGCUCGGGUUCAAGCCGAAGUUGCAUCUCAACUCCAAUCUCAUAUGGACACAAUGAGGUCGCGGCUCCGAGCUGAAGCAAGGGAUGAUAUUGAAUUAAUUGUCCAAAGGAGAUUAUCACAACGAGGUUGCUGCUAUAUUUUUUUGGUGUUGAGGCUUUUCUUAUAUGCUUGUUGUGUGCACUACUUUUUUGUUGUUGCUGGUAUUUUAGUUCCUAUUUUGUUGCCGUGUUGGUGGAACAAAAUUUGGUUCUUAUUCUAUUAGAUAUUAGUUUUAUAUUUUUAUGUAUUUAUCAAAAAACAAAAUUAUAUUUUAUGUGGUAUGAUAUUUAUUUAAAUA